Molecule: ribosomal RNA, 497 nt
Filed under: uncultured bacterium
Lineage: Bacteria
Description: partial 16S ribosomal RNA
Rfam family: Bacterial small subunit ribosomal RNA
Source: RNAcentral
GAUGAACGCUGGCGGCGUGCCUAAUACAUGCAAGUCGAGCGAACGGACGAGAAGCUUGCUUCUCUGAUGUUAGCGGCGGACGGGUGAGUAACACGUGGAUAACCUACCUAUAAGACUGGGAUAACUUCGGGAAACCGGAGCUAAUACCGGAUGAUAUUUUGAACCGCAUGGUUCAAAAGUGAAAGACGGUCUUGCUGUCACUUAUAGAUGGAUCCGCGCUGCAUUAGCUAGUUGGUAAGGUAACGGCUUACCAAGGCAACGAUGCAUAGCCGACCUGAGAGAGUGAUCAGCCACACUGGAACGUAGACACGGUCCAGACUCCUACGGGAGGCAGCAGUAGGGAAUCUUCCGCAAUGGGCGAAAGCCUGACGGAGCAACGCCGCGUGAGUGAUGAAGGUCUUCGGAUCGUAAAACUCUGUUAUUAGGGAAGAACAUAUGUGUAAGUAACUGUGCACAUCUUGACGGUACCUAAUCAGAAAGCCACGGCUAACUACGUG